This 868-nucleotide ribosomal RNA is filed under the name Phialocephala sp. Its description in RNAcentral is "partial 28S ribosomal RNA". It matches the Rfam family "Eukaryotic large subunit ribosomal RNA", at positions 50 to 945 of the family's 3401-position model. Lineage: Eukaryota; Fungi; Ascomycota; Leotiomycetes; Helotiales; Mollisiaceae. The record is from RNAcentral.
GCGGAGGAAAAGAAACCAACAGGGAUUACCUCAGUAACGGCGAGUGAAGCGGUAACAGCUCAAAUUUGAAAGCUGCCAACAGGCCGCGUUGUAAUUUGUAGAAGCUGCUUUGGGUAUCGGCCCGGUCUAAGUUCCUUGGAACAGGACGUCAUAGAGGGUGAGAAUCCCGUAUGUGAUCGGUGCCGGCGCCCGUGUAAAGCGCUUUCGACGAGUCGAGUUGUUUGGGAAUGCAGCUCAAAAUGGGUGGUAAAUUUCAUCUAAAGCUAAAUAUUGGCCAGAGACCGAUAGCGCACAAGUAGAGUGAUCGAAAGAUGAAAAGCACUUUGGAAAGAGAGUUAAACAGUACGUGAAAUUGUUGAAAGGGAAGCGCUUGCAACCAGACUUGCGGGCGGUCGAUCAUCCGAGGUUUUCCCCGGUGCACUCGAUCGUUCUCAGGCCAGCAUUGGUUUCCGGGGCAGGAUAAAGGCGGUGGGAAUGUGGCUCUUCGGAGUGUUAUAGCCCACCGUGCAAUGCUGCCACCGGGGACCGAGGACCGCGCUUCGGCUAGGAUGCUGGCGUAAUGGUUGUAAGCGACCCGUCUUGAAACACGGACCAAGGAGUCUAACAUCUAUGCGAGUGUUUGGGUGUCAAACCCAUACGCGUAAUGAAAGUGAACGGAGGUAAGAGCCCUUUAGGGCGCAUUAUCGACCGAUCCUGAUGUCUUCGGAUGGAUUUGAGUAAGAGCAUAGCUGUUGGGACCCGAAAGAUGGUGAACUAUGCGUGAAUAGGGUGAAGCCAGAGGAAACUCUGGUGGAGGCUCGCAGCGGUUCUGACGUGCAAAUCGAUCGUCAAAUUUGCGUAUAGGGGCGAAAGACUAAUCGAACCAUCU